RNAcentral lists this unclassified non-coding RNA (418 nucleotides) under soil metagenome. RNAcentral describes it as "partial contains 5.8S ribosomal RNA, internal transcribed spacer 2, and large subunit ribosomal RNA". The stretch from base 1 to 120 matches the Rfam family "5.8S ribosomal RNA", at positions 35 to 154 of the family's 154-position model. The record is from RNAcentral.
GAUGAAGAACGCAGCGAAAUGCGAUAAGUAAUGUGAAUUGCAGAAUUCAGUGAAUCAUCGAAUCUUUGAACGCAUCUUGCGCUCCUUGGUAUUCCUUGGAGCAUGCCUGUUUGAGUAUCAUGAGCAAACCUCAAAGUCAAUUCCUUUUGUUAAUUCAAUUGGUUUUGCUUUGGACUUGGAGGUCUUGCAGAUUUCACAGUCUGCUCCUCUUAAAUGUAUUAGCUGGAUCUCAGUAAUUAUGCUUGGUUCCACUCGGCGUGAUAAGUAUCACUCGCUGAGGACACUGUUAAAAAGGUGGCCAGGAAAAUACUGAUUGAACCGCUUCUAACGGUCUAUUAAGUUAGACAAUUACCCUUAAGUUUGAUCUCAAAUCAGGUAGGACUACCCGCUGAACUUAAGCAUAUCAAUAAGCGGAGGA